GAUGAACGCUAGCGGCAGGCUUAACACAUGCAAGUCGAGGGGUAGAAGGAGCUUGCUCCUUUGAGACCGGCGCACGGGUGCGUAACGCGUAUGCAAUCUACCUUUUGCAGAGGGAUAGCCCAGAGAAAUUUGGAUUAAUACCUCAUAGUAUGUGAGGAUGGCAUCAUUUUCACAUUAAAGUCACAACGGCAAAAGAUGAGCAUGCGUCCCAUUAGCUAGUUGGUAAGGUAACGGCUUACCAAGGCUACGAUGGGUAGGGGUCCUGAGAGGGAGAUCCCCCACACUGGUACUGAGACACGGACCAGACUCCUACGGGAGGCAGCAGUGAGGAAUAUUGGACAAUGGGCGCAAGCCUGAUCCAGCCAUGCCGCGUGCAGGAUGACGGUCCUAUGGAUUGUAAACUGCUUUUGUACAGGAAGAAACACUACUUCGUGAAGUAGCUUGACGGUACUGUAAGAAU
This 460-nucleotide ribosomal RNA is filed under the name uncultured bacterium. RNAcentral describes it as "bacterial SSU rRNA". It matches the Rfam family "Bacterial small subunit ribosomal RNA", at positions 28 to 487 of the family's 1533-position model. The record is from RNAcentral.